This 62-nucleotide small nuclear RNA is filed under the name Saimiri boliviensis boliviensis (Bolivian squirrel monkey). Its description in RNAcentral is "U7 small nuclear RNA (ENSSBOG00000014306.1)". It matches the Rfam family "U7 small nuclear RNA". Rfam says of the family: Animal histone pre-mRNAs are spliced by a different mechanism than nuclear pre-mRNAs and self-splicing introns. The record is from Rfam by way of RNAcentral. Lineage: Eukaryota; Metazoa; Chordata; Mammalia; Primates; Cebidae.
AAAUGUUACAGCCCCUUUAGAAUUUGUCUAGCAGGUUUUGUAGCUUUUACCAAAAAACCUCC